Non-coding RNA from Chlorocebus sabaeus (green monkey), 2165 nucleotides. Lineage: Eukaryota; Metazoa; Chordata; Mammalia; Primates; Cercopithecidae. The record is from RefSeq and is a predicted model, not a curated record.
GGCAAUAGUUAUGAUAGAGUGAUAGAUACCUCUCUGUAGCAAACUGCUGUCGAUAUUCCUUAGAUUUCACUUGGAAGCUCAUCAUUUUGGCUAUUGGGUCUGCUCUUAACUCUCUAAGUACCCACUCUAAUGUUUUCUGAUUGACAGAUGGAAGUGCUCCCGGGCAGUACUGAUUUUCAGGCUAAUGCUCCUACUACAAUCAGCUCACUUAGGGCUUCUUUGUGCAGUCUGGAUGUCAGCUUUAACCCUUUGACAGUUCUUCGCUUUACUUCUUUGUCAGACAAACUUCUUAAGCCAGAUUGCAAUUUCUCUUCUUUUUCAGAGUUUUCACCUGGCAAAACGUUGAUGAUUUAAAUGUCAAAAGAGGCAGACUCCAAAUAAAAUGCUGAACAAACAAUUUUGAGGACUUAGACCUUUCUCUUCUGCCGUUACUAUUUCUCAAGCUUCUUCUGAUUCCCAGAUAAUGGGAUGGAAAAAAUGAGAUGCUGCAGUUUCACUCCGGUAGGAUUCAGUCUCAAACUACAGAGGUACUGGGUAAGCUGGUAUUUAUUUUACAUUUGUUCUGGGAUUCUUUCAGACAGACUGGAUGUUUGCACUGGACUCAUUGACUUUUUCCCCACCACUUACAUUGUCAUUCUGUGCUAUUCAGUUGUAUUUUAUAAUUGGGUAGUUGCAGUAAUGAGAAAGAAAAGUAUGAGAAAUGAUGUUCAGGUGGGCUGCAGUACUCUGUCUGUAGGCAAUCAUUGUGAAGCAGGAAGGAAGGGGAUGGGAAUAGCUAGAGAGAAUUGGCUUAAGGGGAAAUAGCCCAAAUCUCAGUUAAAACAAGAUAAAGUGGAAGAGAUAGAAUCUCCUGAUAAAGGUGUGUUCCCUUGCACUGCCGCUAAUGCGCGGGAGCAUUAAAUGUGCGGGAGAUUUUCUGGGGUUGUUAUUCCCUGCAGUCUCAGGAAGAGAAAGUAUCCCGGUCACAGAGGAAACCUUCAACUGCAGACAAACCACAGUCCCCAAAUCCUCUCAAGCUAUAAGGUUUCAAGCACGAAAUUCUUGAGCAAACACACCAGGUGCCUCUCUGCAUUGAUUGUGAUUUUUGGUGCUAAACAGAGAGCAUUGCAGAUGAUGCUGAAGGUCAAAUGAAGGUGGAGAAACCGCAAAACAGCACGACGCACCACCCAACUGCAAGCUAAUUGGGAAGGAAAUGGUUUCAAACUGACAGACUGUGGCCUGAUAACCGAAAUCUCAUAGGGACAAAAGGACUUUCCCAUCCAGUUUAGCAGGCAUGACAGGUCCAUGGCACUUAUCGGAAAGCUCUGGUCCAUUUGAAGUUAUCAAUUGACCUACAGAACAUUUAGAAACAUACCAGUGAUUGCACAUUUGAAGCUGGACCAGUCACUUUUCAAGUGCUCAAGACCCAUACGUGGCUGUACAGGAUGGUAUAGACAUUUUGACUUUAGUCCUCAAAUAAACAAGAGGAAGACAUAAACCUGAAUCUAGAGUGAAGGAAAAACAUCUCAUAGUUAUAUUCAAGCUGAUUACAGAUUAUACUACAAUUAUUUUUGGUCAGAUGGAAAUAAUAAGAUGGAGAAGGUUAAAGUGGAAUUCUAUGAGCAAGGACAGUUGACUCUACAUUCGGAGGCCCAACCCCGGGGCCACAGACCAGUACUAGUCCAUGGCCUGUCAGGAAGCCGCUGCAAAACAGGAGGUGAGUGGUGGGCAAGUGAGCAUUACCACCUGAGCUCUGCUUCCUGUCAGAUAAGCAGUUGCAUUAGAUUCUCAGAGCAGCACGAAGCUAUUGUGAACUGUGCAUGUGAAGGAUCUAGACUGUGUACUCUUCAUGAGAAUCUAAUGCUUAAUGAUCUGAGAUGGAACAGUUUCACCCCAAAACCAUCCCCACCACCCUGUCCAUGGAAAAUUUGUCUUCCAGGAAACCGGUCCCUGGUGCCAAAAAGGUUGGGGACCACUGUUCUAUGUGUCAUCCUUUGAGUGACAUGAACUUUCUGAUGAUGCAGAGACUUCAUGAAGUUAAAGAUUCAGUCACUGAGACUGGGACUUUACGGUUCAUGGGAUGAUAAACCAACAAGAAAGGGAAGUGCACCAUUGUCACAAAGAAAAUAUAUUUUAAGAGCACUGGAAGUUUUGCUGUAACGAAUUCACAGUUUUGCACGAUUUUA